RNAcentral lists this long non-coding RNA (1340 nucleotides) under Parus major (Great Tit). Its description in RNAcentral is "lncRNA (ENSPMJG00000014311.1)". The record is from RNAcentral. Lineage: Eukaryota; Metazoa; Chordata; Aves; Passeriformes; Paridae.
CAGCAAGACGGUCAGGUGCUCCAAAACUGUCAUUGCAGGCUGGCAGAGGUGGUUAGGGUCUGGAAAGGAGGAUGUGAGAGGCACAAUUCUUAAUACCACAGAACUUCCAAUUCCAGGUGCUGAUGGCAAUUUUCUACAGAAAAGCAGCUUGUGGAUGCUUUAAGUUUGUAUUGCAAUUAAAUGCAUGUUUUAGUGCUUUGAACAUUUUUGUAAUAAUAAAAUGGCAGAUAUAGAAUAAAUUUAAGUACACUGGGACUCUGACUACUCAGGACUGCCUUUAUAGGGACUGGUGGUAGAGGUAUCUCUUUCUAUCCUGUGGGAUUAUCCAUAGAAUUCAGCUAGUGAUUACAAUGAAGCAUUUUAAGACAAACCAACGCCAGUGAUGGCUGCAAUGCAAAGUCUGCCCUGUAAACUGCAGUGUUUUGGGAGCUGAUUGACAAGCAGCUUAGACAUCUGGACACCAGGAGCAGAGCAGACAGCUGGAGCUGCCAACCUUUUCAGCUUAUCCCGAGUCCCAUUGUUGCCAUCUUUGUAUCUGCCAGUCCAAGCCUGGAAGUAAAACCAGCAAGCCAUAGUGCAAAGUUCCAAGUACCUCUGCCCAUCCUGGAAAUAAAAGGUAUUGGAAGACCAAUUUUCCCAUUGUGUUCAGUCUUUGGCCUCAAUGGUGCUCAUCUGUAUAUGGUAGGAUAUGGGAUAGUCCAGUGCACCAACUUCUUCCCUCCAGCUUUGGCCUCUACCAAAGCACAAUCCCUGCAUUAUCCACUGCCCACUGCUUCCUCCGAGACUUCCACAGGAGUGCCUAGGGAAGUCAAAUUAUGCUCCUAAGGUGCUGGCUGGCCCAGCAUAUAGAACAAGAUAUACUCUACAUAUCGUUGAAGGAAAUAGCAUUUAUAUUUCUGCUGUUCAAGGAGUCCUAAGGUCUGCUCAGUAACUAUGUUAAGCCCUCCUUAUACUUCAGAUUCACAGAUUUCAGGGGGCCAGUUGAGGGCAUAUAUUCCCAAGAACUCAUUCAAUCAGACCAAACCAGGAGGUUUAGGGAGUUUGCCCAGUCCUUUAAGUGACUUCAGCACUUCUUUCUCAGUGUACAUCCAGCAUGAAACAUUUCCUGCAAAAAAUUGUAGAUAUUGAAGAGAAAAUUUAAAAAGGCAUGUAGGCGCCUAACAUGUCACUCCAGAAGAAUGCAAUUGCCUGAAUUGAUGUCAUCCAUCUGAUUUCUUACACACCUGAAGAUGAGCUCCAGUAGGUACCUAGAAGUUUCUAACACAGCUCUGGUGACUGUCUCUGGAUCAAGUGCGUACUGUUGACGGUGCCUCUGGAUCACCCCCACCAGCUGAGCUUUG